UUUCCGUAGGUGAACCUGCGGAAGGAUCAUUCAUAAUAAGUGUUUUAUGGCACUUUUUAAAUCCAUAUCCACCUUGUGUGCAAUGUCAGGGUUGAUUUCUUUCGAGAGAUCAACCCCAAACAUCAACUAUAAUCUCAACUCUUUGUCUGAAAAAUAUUAUGAAUAAAACAAUUCAAAAUACAACUUUCAACAACGGAUCUCUUGGUUCUG
RNAcentral lists this unclassified non-coding RNA (210 nucleotides) under plant metagenome. RNAcentral's name for it is "partial contains small subunit ribosomal RNA, internal transcribed spacer 1, and 5.8S ribosomal RNA". The record is from RNAcentral.